GGUUAAGCGACUAAGCGUACACGGUGGAUGCCCUGGCAGUCAGAGGCGAUGAAGGACGUGCUAAUCUGCGAUAAGCGUCGGUAAGGUGAUAUGAACCGUUAUAACCGGCGAUUUCCGAAUGGGGAAACCCAGUGUGUUUCGACACACUAUCAUUAACUGAAUCCAUAGGUUAAUGAGGCGAACCGGGGGAACUGAAACAUCUAAGUACCCCGAGGAAAAGAAAUCAACCGAGAUUCCCCCAGUAGCGGCGAGCGAACGGGGAGGAGCCCAGAGCCUGAAUCAGUGUGUGUGUUAGUGGAAGCGUCUGGAAAGGCGCGCGAUACAGGGUGACAGCCCCGUACACAAAAAUGCACAUGCUGUGAGCUCGAUGAGUAGGGCGGGACACGUGGUAUCCUGUCUGAAUAUGGGGGGACCAUCCUCCAAGGCUAAAUACUCCUGACUGACCGAUAGUGAACCAGUACCGUGAGGGAAAGGCGAAAAGAACCCCGGCGAGGGGAGUGAAAAAGAACCUGAAACCGUGUACGUACAAGCAGUGGGAGCACAGAGCAAUCUGUGUGACUGCGUACCUUUUGUAUAAUGGGUCAGCGACUUAUAUUCUGUAGCAAGGUUAACCGAAUAGGGGAGCCGAAGGGAAACCGAGUCUUAACUGGGCGUUAAGUUGCAGGGUAUAGACCCGAAACCCGGUGAUCUAGCCAUGGGCAGGUUGAAGGUUGGGUAACACUAACUGGAGGACCGAACCGACUAAUGUUGAAAAAUUAGCGGAUGACUUGUGGCUGGGGGUGAAAGGCCAAUCAAACCGGGAGAUAGCUGGUUCUCCCCGAAAGCUAUUUAGGUAGCGCCUCGUGAAUUCAUCUCCGGGGGUAGAGCACUGUUUCGGCAAGGGGGUCAUCCCGACUUACCAACCCGAUGCAAACUGCGAAUACCGGAGAAUGUUAUCACGGGAGACACACGGCGGGUGCUAACGUCCGUCGUGAAGAGGGAAACAACCCAGACCGCCAGCUAAGGUCCCAAAGUCAUGGUUAAGUGGGAAACGAUGUGGGAAGGCCCAGACAGCCAGGAUGUUGGCUUAGAAGCAGCCAUCAUUUAAAGAAAGCGUAAUAGCUCACUGGUCGAGUCGGCCUGCGCGGAAGAUGUAACGGGGCUAAACCAUGCACCGAAGCUGCGGCAGCGACACUGUGUGUUGUUGGGUAGGGGAGCGUUCUGUAAGCCUGUGAAGGUGUGCUGUGAGGCAUGCUGGAGGUAUCAGAAGUGCGAAUGCUGACAUAAGUAACGAUAAAGCGGGUGAAAAGCCCGCUCGCCGGAAGACCAAGGGUUCCUGUCCAACGUUAAUCGGGGCAGGGUGAGUCGACCCCUAAGGCGAGGCCGAAAGGCGUAGUCGAUGGGAAACAGGUUAAUAUUCCUGUACUUGGUGUUACUGCGAAGGGGGGACGGAGAAGGCUAUGUUGGCCGGGCGACGGUUGUCCCGGUUUAAGCGUGUAGGCUGGUUUUCCAGGCAAAUCCGGAAAAUCAAGGCUGAGGCGUGAUGACGAGGCACUACGGUGCUGAAGCAACAAAUGCCCUGCUUCCAGGAAAAGCCUCUAAGCAUCAGGUAACAUCAAAUCGUACCCCAAACCGACACAGGUGGUCAGGUAGAGAAUACCAAGGCGCUUGAGAGAACUCGGGUGAAGGAACUAGGCAAAAUGGUGCCGUAACUUCGGGAGAAGGCACGCUGAUAUGUAGGUGAAGUCCCUCGCGGAUGGAGCUGAAAUCAGUCGAAGAUACCAGCUGGCUGCAACUGUUUAUUAAAAACACAGCACUGUGCAAACACGAAAGUGGACGUAUACGGUGUGACGCCUGCCCGGUGCCGGAAGGUUAAUUGAUGGGGUCAGCGCAAGCGAAGCUCUUGAUCGAAGCCCCGGUAAACGGCGGCCGUAACUAUAACGGUCCUAAGGUAGCGAAAUUCCUUGUCGGGUAAGUUCCGACCUGCACGAAUGGCGUAAUGAUGGCCAGGCUGUCUCCACCCGAGACUCAGUGAAAUUGAACUCGCUGUGAAGAUGCAGUGUACCCGCGGCAAGACGGAAAGACCCCGUGAACCUUUACUAUAGCUUGACACUGAACAUUGAGCCUUGAUGUGUAGGAUAGGUGGGAGGCUUUGAAGUGUGGACGCCAGUCUGCAUGGAGCCGACCUUGAAAUACCACCCUUUAAUGUUUGAUGUUCUAACGUGGACCCGUGAUCCGGGUUGCGGACAGUGUCUGGUGGGUAGUUUGACUGGGGCGGUCUCCUCCUAAAGAGUAACGGAGGAGCACGAAGGUUGGCUAAUCCUGGUCGGACAUCAGGAGGUUAGUGCAAUGGCAUAAGCCAGCUUGACUGCGAGCGUGACGGCGCGAGCAGGUGCGAAAGCAGGUCAUAGUGAUCCGGUGGUUCUGAAUGGAAGGGCCAUCGCUCAACGGAUAAAAGGUACUCCGGGGAUAACAGGCUGAUACCGCCCAAGAGUUCAUAUCGACGGCGGUGUUUGGCACCUCGAUGUCGGCUCAUCACAUCCUGGGGCUGAAGUAGGUCCCAAGGGUAUGGCUGUUCGCCAUUUAAAGUGGUACGCGAGCUGGGUUUAGAACGUCGUGAGACAGUUCGGUCCCUAUCUGCCGUGGGCGCUGGAGAACUGAGGGGGGCUGCUCCUAGUACGAGAGGACCGGAGUGGACGCAUCACUGGUGUUCGGGUUGUCAUGCCAAUGGCACUGCCCGGUAGCUAAAUGCGGAAGAGAUAAGUGCUGAAAGCAUCUAAGCACGAAACUUGCCCCGAGAUGAGUUCUCCCUGACCCUUUAAGGGUCCUGAAGGAACGUUGAAGACGACGACGUUGAUAGGCCGGGUGUGUAAGCGCAGCGAUGCGUUGAGCUAACCGGUACUAAUGAACCGUGAGGCUUAACCUUACAACGCCGAAGGUGUUUUG
Molecule: ribosomal RNA, 2925 nt
Filed under: Escherichia coli
Lineage: Bacteria; Pseudomonadati; Pseudomonadota; Gammaproteobacteria; Enterobacterales; Enterobacteriaceae
Also listed under: 2 other names
Description: LSU rRNA
Rfam family: Bacterial large subunit ribosomal RNA
Source: RNAcentral